UCUUCUCACCCUAGCUGACUCACUUCUUCUUUUUCCCAUUGCUGCCUCUUUCUCUCUUCUAAAUCAAAGAUUUUGUUCCUCAUAUCAACCACACCACUCAACUAUGGACUAUGAAGCACCAUUCUGGUCGAAACCGCUCCACCCAAAACCGAGAAGCACCCAGUGGUUCUGGGCCUGAGACUCAAACCCCCUCCACACACGUCUCUGGAUCGCCUCACCUCCUAUCUUAAUGACCAUUGAGGAUUUCGUUUCUCAACCGGGACGAGAACUUAUCGCAAAACUCCAUCCCAACUACAUCGGAGAUUCUACAUGGUUUGAGGCAUCUGGAAACGACAUUAGCAAAUCUGUAAACCGGAUGAUGUAUGGACUCCUCAAAGAACCUUAUGAAACAUACUCAUCAAUGCCAAGUCAUGACUGUAACGCCCACGAACCGCCGUACGGCCGGACAGGACCGUGGACCCGGAACGCCACAUUUGUGGGAAUCGCACCCUGGUGGUCCGGUCGAGGGACGGAAGCUGCAGCUUCCCGACCAGUCUUCUUGGACGCGACUCCGCCCGCGACUAGGUUCAAUUAGGCUUUGCAACCCUUGCGUCCCAUGCGCGUUGUGUUGACCCGAACAAAGCCGAGUACCAUAUGCAACUUGCCACGAUU
This is a long non-coding RNA of Camelina sativa (false flax), 651 nucleotides long. RefSeq lists it as uncharacterized. The record is from RefSeq and is a predicted model, not a curated record. NCBI's taxonomy places the organism in Eukaryota, Viridiplantae, Streptophyta, Magnoliopsida, Brassicales, Brassicaceae.